CAGAGGCACGUACUGUACAAGCUCCUGUUACAGCCAUAGAAUCAUCUUGCAGCAGCUGAGCCCACAGGCUCUGUGCAAGAAAUCUUGCUGAAGAAAUCCCCUCUGCACGUGGCCAGCAGCCUGAAUCAGCCUUUUCUGGUGGAUGGUGAAACAGUGGAAAACCUCUGAAGGGAAUUGCUACCAUGGGGUUUGCCUGGCUGUGAGAAGCAAACCAAAUAGCAGGAAUACCUGAUGGAAGAGCUACGUUGGGACAGAAAUUGUACAGGCCUGUACAGCUGCAGAUUUUCAUCCAAAAGAAUAAACAACCAAA
RNAcentral lists this long non-coding RNA (310 nucleotides) under Zonotrichia albicollis (white-throated sparrow). RNAcentral describes it as "lncRNA (ENSZALG00000017078.1)". Lineage: Eukaryota; Metazoa; Chordata; Aves; Passeriformes; Passerellidae. The record is from RNAcentral.